This 288-nucleotide long non-coding RNA is filed under the name Capra hircus (goat). RNAcentral describes it as "lncRNA (ENSCHIG00010002881.1)". The record is from RNAcentral. Lineage: Eukaryota; Metazoa; Chordata; Mammalia; Artiodactyla; Bovidae.
ACCGCGGGCUCCGGACGGCGAGUUGGCGGUGGCUUCUCGCGCGCGGCCGCUUCGGCUCACCUGGGCGCCCGCUCCCAGCCCCGAAACUCGUCCCCCCGUAACUCCGCUCAGGGGCGGCGACCGUCCGGGCCCCGCCGUGUAGACCGGCCGGUCCCGGCGGGAGGCGCGGCCGCCCCAGCGCCCGGGGGUCGUUCCCUCGCCUCCUCCGGGCGGCGGGAAGGAAGAGGCGGCGGCGGCCGGAGUCGGGGCGGGCGGCCUGAGGUGAGAGCCCGGCCGGCCCCGCUGGGA